CAUGGUGUUUACACCAGUCUGCAGGUGCUGUGAUACACAAUUUUUUAUUUAGAAUUAUUUGUUUGCCAUGUGUGAAUGGCCAUAGGAAUGUUAUGAAAAAAACUUCUAAAUGCUGUUUUAAAUGAAUGUGACUCCAAGAUUCCUUCUGGAGAAGGCAGCUAUGAGAUAAUUAUAAGGAGUAAAGAAGCAAACAACUCUCAUCUUCUGUUAUCAGCCCAGCUGCAGCCUUCCUCUUAUCAGUUCUUGGAAAAGUUCACUUCAGCCAUGCUAUGUCCCACACAAAGCUUGCCUUUUUAUGCCGUUCAGACUAGUUCCACUGUCUUUCAGAAAGCCUUUUUCAUUAAAGAAGCACUUAUCAGAGCUGACACAUAGAGAACAGAGCAGUCCUGGAUAUGAUGGAGCUGUAGAAGGGAACUGCCCUCAUUACUUUGCAACUUCAUUUUUUCAUCCAUGUCAUGCUCUAGUGUGGAUCUAAGGACAUGGAUUUGCACAGCUCAAUUGAAACACCUGAUAAAGUGAAGGCUGAUGCUCCUGUAUAUGUUGGUAAAGAAGAAGACAUAAAACAGUCCCAAAGAAUAACAGCCAGUGUCCAUGACAGAGAAGUUGUCGUUUUCUACCAUGAAGGGAAAUUUUAUGCCAUGGACCGUCGCUGUUACCAUGCAGGAGGUCCUUUACAUCUUGGAGAGAUAGAGGAUAUCAAUGGACAGCCCUGCAUUAUUUGCCCUUGGCACAAGUAUAAAAUUACUUUGGCAACAGGAGAAGGCUUAUAUCAAGCAAUAAACCCUACAGAACCAUCAGCAACACCAAAAUGGCGAUCAAAAGGAAUAAAGCAAAGAACUCACAAGGUUACUGUAGACAAUGGAAGUGUUUAUGUGACUCCUUCGGACUUAUCUAUCAGCUGUGACUCUGAUUACUAUGCUGAUAAGUACAAAAAGACUGGAAGUUCUGAUAUGAAAAAAUAAUGGACAUCCUGAACUUCAAAAUCAAUGGCCAUUAUGCAAAAUACCAGUGUCUGUGUAAAAGGCAUUAUCGGUAUCACAGAAUAUGCAAAUUUUUUCUAGAUAUUAAUAUAAAGAAAUACCAGUGUUAAUCUUCUUAUUAAAGCAUUAAGUAAUGUAGAAAUGAGUAAGAUCAUAAACAAGUUCAAGACCCUCUUUAGAAUGAAUUAGCAUUGUGCCAGUGCAGUUUUAUAUUUGCCGUUAAUAAAAUACGAGUUUAAUGUAUGUACAUUAGCCUAGUUUGUAAUAUUUGAAGUGUUAAAUCUUCUAUUGCUAGGGUUAGUCUUUUAAGCUUUAGGAGGAGGAAUAUAAUAAUGCAUUUCAUUAGUUUAGAAAAACAUCUUUAAAUGUUAUAACUAUCCAUUGAAGGACAGAAUUUUUUUAAUAUGUUGAAAUUAUUAUAGUUCUAAACUACAUAAUGUAAUUGGGAGAUUUUUUUUAAUGUUAUUUGCAGGUCAGGAGAAAAAGCUGUUGUUUUAUCAUCUUAACGCAUAGGACCAGAGUUUCAUAAAAUGAGGAUGACUGCAGAAAACAUCUAAAAAAGAGAAUGUGUGUGGGGAGGAUUGAACCCAGUCUGGGAAGAUGUCUGGCCUGUGAAAAAUGCCUGGAGUUUCAAGCUGCAAGCAAGAGCAGUUUGCCUUCAAGAACCUCUGCAAUCUGCCCAAAACAAUAUUUAGAGUGAGAAACUACUACUUGUAACCAGGUUUUUGGUAUCGUAAGCUUAUAUUGCAUUUUUGUUUUAUUUGCUGGGUAAUCUGCUUUGAUCCCUUAAAUUUGCAAUCCUUUAGAUUUUAAAGUGAUUAUAUCCUUUGUAGUUAAACUUGUUUUUCUUUUCUCCAAAGCUACUUUGUGGAAUUCAUAACUGGAGGGGACAAAAGUGUGUGUCACUAAGAAAUUUAAAUGCUAUAGAACAUGGCACUAAAAAUAUUCAUAGUAAGGCCCUCAGCCACAACUGUUCUGAGGGACAUGGCUACUGAAAGAAAAAUCUAGCUAAGGAACACUGAAGACAUUAAGCUAUUUGUACUAAUUAUUUUAUUAACAAAUAGAGAAUGUAAAUUCUGUAUAUGUUAAGUGUCUUUGUUUAAACAUUCAGUGCACUAACAGAGCUCAUAAGUCUGUUUGAGCUUACAGUACUUAGUAGUGGAACUGAUCUUGAUCCAGUGCAGAAUGUAGGAUGUGAAUGGUGCUCUUAGUUGAAUCUUCAACAGGAAAUUCAGAAAAUACGUGCUUCUCUGGAGAGGGUACAGCGUAACUUGCUAAAUCUUCAUAUUUGGAGAAUACAUCUUUUUCUUCCUCAUUCUUAGCUUUUUCUCUUGAGGUCCUUUCUUCUUGAACAAUGUAUUUUAUUUUCCCUAGUACUGUGUUAAUAGAGACUGCCUACAUACAAUAAAGAUGGAGUUUAGUUGAAGAAAACCAUAA
Non-coding RNA from Chelonoidis abingdonii (Abingdon island giant tortoise), 2417 nucleotides. The record is from RefSeq and is a predicted model, not a curated record. Lineage: Eukaryota; Metazoa; Chordata; Testudines; Testudinidae.